GCUCACUUCUGCAGCACAUGUACUAAAAUUGGAACAAUACCGAGGACAUUAGCAUGGCCCUGUACAAGGAUGAUAUACAAAUUUGUGCAGCAUUCCACAUUUUU
Heterocephalus glaber (naked mole-rat) is the source of this 104-nucleotide small nuclear RNA. NCBI's taxonomy places the organism in Eukaryota, Metazoa, Chordata, Mammalia, Rodentia, Bathyergidae. The record is from Ensembl.